GUCCAGACUCCUACGGGAGGCAGCAGUGGGGAAUAUUGCGCAAUGGGGGAAACCCUGACGCAGCAACGCCGCGUGAGUGAAGAAGUCUCUCGGUAUGUAAAGCUCUAUCAGCGGGGAAGAAGGAAGACGGUACCCGACUAAGAAGCCCCGGCUAACUACGUGCCAGCAGCCGCGGUAAUACGUAGGGGGCGAGCGUUAUCCGGAUUUACUGGGUGUAAAGGGAGCGUAGACGGCGUCGCAAGUCUGAAGUGAAAGCCCGUGGUUCAACCGCGGAACCGCUUUGGAAACUGCGAGGCUGGAGUGCUGGAGAGGUAAGCGGAAUUCCUGGUGUAGCGGUGAAAUGCGUAGAUAUCAGGAGGAACACCGGCGGCGAAGGCGGCCUGCUGGACCGUGACUGACGUUGAGGCUCGAGAGCGUGGGGAGCAAACAGGAUUAGAUACCCCGGUA
This 447-nucleotide ribosomal RNA is filed under the name uncultured bacterium. RNAcentral's name for it is "bacterial SSU rRNA". It matches the Rfam family "Bacterial small subunit ribosomal RNA", at positions 329 to 792 of the family's 1533-position model. The record is from RNAcentral.